This 180-nucleotide ribosomal RNA is filed under the name uncultured Glomeromycotina. RNAcentral describes it as "partial small subunit ribosomal RNA". Lineage: Eukaryota; Fungi; Glomeromycota. The record is from RNAcentral.
GGGUUAGUAGGUUGGUCAUGCCUCAGGUAUGUACUGGUCUCACUGAUUCCUCCUUCCUGAUGAGCCGUAAUGCCAUUAAUUUGGUGUUGCGGGGAAUCUGGACUGUUACUUUGAAAAAAUUAGAGUGUUCAAAGCAGGCCUAUGCUCGAAUACAUUAGCAUGGAAUAAUAGAAUAGGACG